Molecule: ribosomal RNA, 305 nt
Filed under: uncultured bacterium
Lineage: Bacteria
Description: bacterial SSU rRNA
Rfam family: Bacterial small subunit ribosomal RNA
Source: RNAcentral
AGUAUCCUACGGGACGCAGCAGUGAGGAAUAUUGGUCAAUGGGCGGGAGCCUGAACCAGCCAAGUCGCGUGAGGGAUGACGGCCCUAUGGGUUGUAAACCUCUUUUGCCGGGGAGCAAAGUGCCGCACGUGUGCGGUUUGGAGAGUACCCGGAGAAAAAGCAUCGGCUAACUCCGUGCCAGCAGCCGCGGUAAUACGGAGGAUGCGAGCGUUAUCCGGAUUUAUUGGGUUUAAAGGGUGCGCAGGCGGGAGAUCAAGUCAGCGGUAAAAUGUCGGGGCUCAACCCCGGCCGGCCGUUGAAACUGG